CCGGCCACAUUUAGCCUCGUUAUCAGAGUUCUCCGUUGACACCAAACGCUGCUCCUAUGUUGAGCUCUGAUUUCUUCUUUCCCCGUUAAUGACAUUUAGCGUUCAGGACAUCGGCUCUGACAUCAGCACUUCUCCCGUAAUUACUGCUGGCGUGAUGGGCCUUCAGAGGACGUCAGCGCACGAGACGAGAGGCCACCGCCGCUCCUCUGUGGUGCACAAGACGCUGCAGCGCUCAGAUGUUUAGUGUAUGAUGGUCUUUUUCUCCACGUUUCAUCCUAACGUGUUCCCCUCCGCCAACUACUUCCUGUCCCUUGUUUGUUAUUUCCGUAGGGGGGGGAUAAAAUCCAGGGGAAGGAGUCUGGUGCAGUACGUCGCCCUCUGAGGUAUAGCAUCUGAGCAGCGGGGAGGAAGGAUCUGUAACCUGUGGCGGCGACCCGGAGCUCUGGCUGUCAGAACGGGUUGACAGGCCCGAGGACGGGGAAUUAAAGAGGCUCUUGUCCUCCUCCAAGGCUGAUUGACACAGUCAGAGCGACAGAAAGGCUGCUGGAAGUGCAGCUAUUCCCUCGGCUGUCUCUACCUUUUGCACUGGACAAAGAGCAGCGUCUCACUUUCUUUAGAUGUGUCUUUCACCGUCCUCCUGCUCUUCUCCCCCCCCCACACACACACACACUCGGGCUCAUUAUAGGAAUGAUCCUCAGGGACUUCACUUACUUCUCUGACUCUCCUCCCAGUCCACAAACCUCGCCGACGGACAAAAGGCGGCUGAGAGGAAAUUUGAAUUUGAAACAGGAGGCCGCAACAAAAACACGCAGCUCCUGAAAUGGAGAAACUUUAGAAGACUUGUAGGCAGCUGAGGUUUACCGGUCCAUGCACCAAAAAGCAGAAACAUGAUUCUGACAUUAUCCAGCCAGCCAAUGAACUGUAAAGGUAGCAGCUACUGAACAAGGAGAGGGAUGGCAGCGCCUGAAGGAAGUAGCAUUGGACACCAGGGGCCCAGCGGGUAGGACUGUAGAACGCAGCCCACCGCAGCUAACAUGCAAUCACACAAAACAGUGAGAAAAACACAAAGAGAGGGGCACGUUUUCCACAAGGCCACAGUGACCGUGCGAUGCAGUCUCUGCAUGUGCAGUUCUGAAACUCACCGGAUUAGAAAAGUCUCUUCCAUUGACCAUUGAAAACAAUUGCAACGUGAAAAGGGCUAAAUUCCUCCUCCCAAACGUCUCAAAUUAAACAGCUCCUCGCUCAAACCCGGUUUGAUUAAAGUAGCUGAGUGAGACACUGAUGCCAGUGUUUUAAUGUACAGCAGCAAAGGAGCCAACACACUUAGAACUGUCAGCCAUUUUCAAUCACGCGAUCUGAGCCCUGUCAAUAACCACUCAAUGGAUGGACGGACAGCUGAGUGCUGCUUGUUUGUGCGUGGCUGCGAGCUACGCAGCAUGAAAUACAGAAC
Long non-coding RNA from Gasterosteus aculeatus aculeatus (three-spined stickleback), 1450 nucleotides. Lineage: Eukaryota; Metazoa; Chordata; Actinopteri; Perciformes; Gasterosteidae. The record is from Ensembl.